Molecule: long non-coding RNA, 1315 nt
Organism: Ooceraea biroi (clonal raider ant)
Lineage: Eukaryota; Metazoa; Arthropoda; Insecta; Hymenoptera; Formicidae
Source: RefSeq, a predicted model, not a curated record
UUUUAAAUUCUGCCUAUAGAUUUCCUUACAUUCGGCAAAAUCGAUAUGGCGUCUCAUAAUCGGGGACUUUCCUCUACCACUACUCAAGUGCAAUUGUAUCGCCUCUCACUGACAGAUCUAUAAAUGCAAUUGUCCAAUCAAAAUCACUAAUUGUCAUCGUCUGAGAAAGUCGGAUGAGUGUUUCAGGUGGCAACCAACGAGAGAACGGAAAUCCGCAUAUCGCGCGUGACGCACGCAAAAUAAAAUAAUAAACACAAAAAAUCCAACCAAUGAUCGAUGAUCGAUGAUGAAUUAUGUAACGCGAUAUAUAUCCGUCGACAGUAAUGAUAACGUUGUCGAUGACGGAAAUGAUGACGUUGGCGAUGAUGACGGUCGCUGUUAGCACAGAAGGAAACCGGCAGAGACCGCGACGUCGAAAGCCGCAAGAGGACAUAACGAACCAAAAUGAUUAAUCGAGAUAGACACGGGCCGAAUGAGGUUUUGCCGCUCGCUGACGCGUCGCCGCCGUUCAUCGUCGUCGAAGCUUCUCUUGCGCUGCUCUGCUGCCCGCCUCUGGCGAAACCUGUUUGCGUUCUUAUAUUUUCAUGUACACAUACCAUGCGAGGCGAAGCGUCAUGACAAACGUCAAUUACUUUCACGCACACACUCGCACACACGCAAAAAACGCACGCGCGCAAACACUCCUGCCAACAAGCGGAUUGUCACGUCGGCUUACAAAUCGAUCAUGAACCAUCGGCACGUUAUAUUCGUUGUUUUUGGGAGCUCGAGGAACGAUAUGGGGAGCAGGGUGCUCUAUUAACGUUAAUUUUGACAAAUUUUAAUCAUAUUUUAAUUUCUAAUUCUAAUUGUUAUAUAAUUUCGGAAAAAGAUAAUAUUUCAGUACUAAUGGACUCCGUUUUGUUUUGCCACUCUGUUUCGGAUUAAAUAAUCAAUAAUAAGUUUAUAUUUGUUUGAAGUAUGUUCAAUUUAUCCUAUGUCAGAAUAAAUUUAUAAUAUUAUUUCUAUUAAACUAAAUAUAUCAUAAUUAUUUCAUGUGUUUCAACACGUGUCAUUUUCCUCAAAUGCAUUGACAUUAAUUUAUUUUCUAUACAUAAUUAAUAUAAGUAAAUAUGUUCGUAAAUAUAAUAUAAUAUUAAUGCUAUAAUAGUCUGUAAGAUCUGUAUUGUAAGAUCAAUAUAGCGCGAAUUUUGUUUAUUAAUAAGUUACUACUAAUUUAUUAUUAGUGCAGAUCGAUUGCUGUUAAUCUGACACGUGAUGCUAUCGAAUAAUCUGUGAACAAGGGAAAAUAGGGAAGAAUAUAAUGAUAGAUGGCUCA